UCCGUCAGGUAGCUCUGUGUGAGCGGUGGUAUGAGCAGCCAAUCCCCUUUUGUCCUUUUGUUUUCCCACCGACUGACUGUCCCAAUGCUGUGUUUGUAACGCGCGCUUUGUCUCGUGUUUUGUGAGGUUAAGGUAUAGCAGUGUGUGGUUUUCAUCGUUGCAUUUGUUAAUAAACAUCGUUUACAUGAGGCGAAGAUCUUAAAAUUAAGUUAAUUCUCUGCAAUAUGCAUGCAUGCUUGCAUACGUAGUUGAGUGUGUGUUAUGGUGAACGUCAUGGUUCCGGAAAUGUUUUGAAUUGUGCGAAGUCGUAUUAAUGAAGAUCUGAGACUCUGGUGUGUGUUGCAAAGUGUAAUUAACUGUUUGACUUCAUAAAUCCGGAUUUCUGGAGCCGUAGAGAGAGAGAACUGGACGCGUGGGAGUCUGAUUUUCUGAUCUGCAUCAUUCCUUUGUUCAGAAAUUCAGGGGCUGUUUAAGUGAAUUACCCGGAGGAAGAGACUGCAAUAAUGAAAUGGACCUGUACCCUGCACCUGACACUACUGUAGUAAUUUUCUCUACGAGGAUGAGAUUGCUGGGACACAUAAAACGCUUGAAGGAGCAGAGGUGAUAUCUGGAUAGAAGUUUUGCAAUGAAACGGCAGAAAUAUUGAUCCAACAUACACACAGGCCCACAAUAUGCAAUACCACACAACAUCCAAGCUACUACCACGAAAAUAAAAACGAGGUAAGGCAGUUCCUAUACGCAAGUCGUGACUUAACGCCAGCAUAGUCGGGAAAUCUAUAUUGCUUCAAGACACACGGAUUACCUGCACGUAAAAUGACAUUAUUAUAACUGAAGUACAAAUAAGGAGUAUGUAAUACAGAUGAACUAUUCAUGAAUGGCGUAAUUGUAAAGCG
Zootermopsis nevadensis is the source of this 893-nucleotide non-coding RNA. The record is from RefSeq and is a predicted model, not a curated record. NCBI's taxonomy places the organism in Eukaryota, Metazoa, Arthropoda, Insecta, Blattodea, Termopsidae.